GUACAUUUUGAGAUGACCCUGGGGUUCUAUGUACUUAGGAAACCAGGAGCAGGGGAGGACCGGGCACAUCAAAGAGAACAUGCUUCAGCCGCACAGAAGCCUGGAAACUCAGAGAAACAACAACCAGGGAACAGAGAGGAGUGUCCUCAAGAGGCUCAACUGAGAACUGAGAAGUUCCCAACUGCUGUGGACUUUCCUCUGUUCCUGCUGCCUUCCCAGGGUGAAUAAGGAGGAUUGGUAAUCAUCCACAUGGAAAGGGUAAUGUGUGUCUAACUGUAAGGCUUAUAGGUUUUAAAAAGAAGAAUAUAAAGUUAUGAAAUGAAAUGGGAGAAAAAUAUUAUACAGUGAUAAAAUCACAGCUUCUUUACUCAUUUCAAACAAAAGCCAGGAACACAGAAUUCAGACACUGAGGAGUUACUAGAUUUCUAGAAUAUGUCAUCAAAAUGCGGAG
RNAcentral lists this long non-coding RNA (451 nucleotides) under Rattus norvegicus (Norway rat). RNAcentral's name for it is "long non-coding RNA NONRATT032141". Lineage: Eukaryota; Metazoa; Chordata; Mammalia; Rodentia; Muridae. The record is from RNAcentral.